RNAcentral lists this long non-coding RNA (324 nucleotides) under Sus scrofa (pig). Its description in RNAcentral is "lncRNA (ENSSSCG00070013814.1)". The record is from RNAcentral. Lineage: Eukaryota; Metazoa; Chordata; Mammalia; Artiodactyla; Suidae.
AUGCAUCAACUUUUAAAUAAUUCCAGCAAAUCAGUUAUUUUCAACCAACUGCAAACAAGAGAGAUGAGUCAUCAUCUGGAGCACAUGGAUUAUGGGAGGAUUCCAAAUACCCUUCCCCAGUGCAUAUUCAAAACAUCCCAAGGUGUUAGACACCCUCUCAAAGGUGGGACAGAAUAAUAAUGAUGGCUUCAGUACAAUGUUAUAUAUGCUACGAGAGUGGCACAUAUACAGACGACUCUGGAGCUAAGAACAAGGACAUCUACACGCUAAGUUUCAGGUAUUGUACUGAGUCUUGAGGAUGAGUUGCAUUUAUCCAUUCCACAU